RNAcentral lists this ribosomal RNA (477 nucleotides) under uncultured bacterium. RNAcentral's name for it is "bacterial SSU rRNA". It matches the Rfam family "Bacterial small subunit ribosomal RNA", at positions 15 to 507 of the family's 1533-position model. The record is from RNAcentral.
GAUCCUGGCUCAGAUUGAACGCUGGCGGCAUGCCUUACACAUGCAAGUCGAACGGCAGCACGGGAGCAAUCCUGGUGGCGAGUGGCGAACGGGUGAGUAAUAUAUCGGAACGUGCCCAGUCGUGGGGGAUAACGCAGCGAAAGCUGUGCUAAUACCGCAUACGAUCUCUGGAUGAAAGCGGGGGACUCGCAAGAGCCUCGCGCGAUUGGAGCGGCCGAUAUCAGAUUAGGUAGUUGGUGGGUAAAGGCUCNCCAAGCCAACGAUCUGUAGCUGGUCUGAGAGGACGACCAGCCACACUGGAACUGAGACACGGUCCAGACUCCUACGGGAGGCAGCAGUGGGGAAUUUUCCGCAAUGGGCGAAAGCCUGACGGAGCAAUACCGCGUGAGGGAAGAAUGCCUAUGGGUUGUAAACCUCUUUUUUCAGGGAGGAAUAAAAUGACGUGUACCUGAAGAAUAAGCAUCGGCUAACUACGUG